Pinus densata is the source of this 108-nucleotide non-coding RNA. The record is from Rfam. NCBI's taxonomy places the organism in Eukaryota, Viridiplantae, Streptophyta, Pinopsida, Pinales, Pinaceae.
AAGGUCAUGGGUCUCGGUGGAGUUGGGAAGACUGUUACAGUGCAUAGAUGUCAUCAGAUCAUAAAUUACUGCGUAGGUAUUUCCAACCCACAGAGACCUGAUGGCCUU